This 69-nucleotide transfer RNA is filed under the name Ictidomys tridecemlineatus (thirteen-lined ground squirrel). Its description in RNAcentral is "Spermophilus tridecemlineatus (thirteen-lined ground squirrel) tRNA". It matches the Rfam family "tRNA". From Rfam's summary of the family: Transfer RNA (tRNA) molecules are approximately 80 nucleotides in length. Their secondary structure includes four short double-helical elements and three loops (D, anti-codon, and T loops). Lineage: Eukaryota; Metazoa; Chordata; Mammalia; Rodentia; Sciuridae. The record is from Rfam by way of RNAcentral.
GGGGUUAUAGCUCAGCAGUAGAGUGCUUGCCUUGCAAGCAGGAGGUACUGGGUUCAAUCCUUGGCACCA